This 395-nucleotide transfer-messenger RNA is filed under the name human gut metagenome. It matches the Rfam family "transfer-messenger RNA". Rfam says of the family: Bacterial tmRNA, also known as 10Sa RNA or SsrA, is named for its dual tRNA and mRNA-like properties. The record is from RNAcentral.
GGGCCUGGGUUGGUUUUGACAGCAGGGCUAAUGGUUCGGUAAGCAUGCAGGCUAAGGUAACACAAGCCUUGAACAGGGUUACAAAACAUUAAUUGGCGAAGAAAAUUACGCUCUUGCCGCUUAAUCGAAGUAUAGUAGAUUAAAGCUUGUCGUUGCAAAGUGCAGCGAGCAGGACAUCUCUCCGAGACCUUUUUUCCGUGGUCGAGGGUACAGAGGUGCAGUAAAACGGAAAUAGUUCGAAGGCUUCUUCCGACUUCGAGCGAAAUCAAAGGAAGAUAAGGAAAAGUCGGGGUGUCCGUCUCUUGGGCUUUUCUCGAAAAUGCUUGACGGAAUAAGCAUGUAGAAAGCCGGGGUGUUACUUGUUUGGACCAGAGUUCGAAUCUCUGCAGGUCCAC